RNAcentral lists this ribosomal RNA (577 nucleotides) under Sphingomonas sp. RNAcentral describes it as "bacterial SSU rRNA". It matches the Rfam family "Bacterial small subunit ribosomal RNA", at positions 57 to 681 of the family's 1533-position model. Lineage: Bacteria; Pseudomonadati; Pseudomonadota; Alphaproteobacteria; Sphingomonadales; Sphingomonadaceae. The record is from RNAcentral.
GCAGUCGAACGAAGGCUUCGGCCUUAGUGGCGCACGGGUGCGUAACGCGUGGGAAUCUGCCCCUCGGUUCGGAAUAACAGUUAGAAAUGACUGCUAAUACCGGAUGAUGACGUAAGUCCAAAGAUUUAUCGCCGAGGGAUGAGCCCGCGUAGGAUUAGCUAGUUGGUGUGGUAAAAGCGCACCAAGGCGACGAUCCUUAGCUGGUCUGAGAGGAUGAUCAGCCACACUGGGACUGAGACACGGCCCAGACUCCUACGGGAGGCAGCAGUGGGGAAUAUUGGACAAUGGGCGAAAGCCUGAUCCAGCAAUGCCGCGUGAGUGAUGAAGGCCUUAGGGUUGUAAAGCUCUUUUACCCGGGAUGAUAAUGACAGUACCGGGAGAAUAAGCUCCGGCUAACUCCGUGCCAGCAGCCGCGGUAAUACGGAGGGAGCUAGCGUUAUUCGGAAUUACUGGGCGUAAAGCGCACGUAGGCGGCUUUGUAAGUAAGAGGUGAAAGCCCAGAGCUCAACUCUGGAAUUGCCUUUUAGACUGCAUCGCUUGAAUCAUGGAGAGGUCAGUGGAAUUCCGAGUGUAGCGG